RNAcentral lists this long non-coding RNA (3300 nucleotides) under Mus musculus (house mouse). Its description in RNAcentral is "predicted gene 45752 (Gm45752)". Lineage: Eukaryota; Metazoa; Chordata; Mammalia; Rodentia; Muridae. The record is from RNAcentral.
CUCUCUGCCUGCUGCCUGCAGAUCAGGAUGUAAAGCCCUCAACUAUCGUUCCAGCACCGUGCCUGUCUGCUUCCCACCAUCCAUGGACUAACUAACACUCUAAAACAAGACUCUUGCUGUGCAGGCCUGGCUGGCCUAGAACUCUUAAACCUCCCAGUCAUGGAGAUCCCCCAGCCUCUGUUUCCCGAGUGCUGCCAAACUGGUUCUUAGAAGGAGCAAGGAAAAUCAGAAAGGUGGCACAUGCUUGAAAUUCUAGUCCUCGGAUGGCAGAAGCAGGGGAAUCGCUUGAAUCCAGGAGUUCCCGGCCAACCUGGACAACAUAGACUCGGGUCUCCAAAACAAGAUAAAAAAAAAACCUCGUAAACCAAACAAACAAAAAAUACAGCCGAUCAGUAGGAACACAUUCCCUGUCAUGGUGAACUCUGUUAUGCUGGUCUAUGGGCUCCAGCUUCAGUCAGGUUUCCUCGCCGAGAAUCCUUCCAACCCAAAUCCCAACAAUAAAGGAGGACGAGGGCUCAGACACUUGGCGUGAUGUUUCAGGAUCUUUUGAGGUAGCAGGAUCCACCAAAAACUUGGCCACGCCUUCUGGUAGCCACCCAAAUAAAAGGACAUGCAAGAGGAAAGCGUUUGUUUUUUGCCUGCUUGCCCUCUUUCUCGAUGGAAGGCUCAUUUAUCCUGUCUCCGAUACUAAGAUACGAAGAAGUAGUAUUAGAACCAAUUUCUUUGGGAUUCUGAUGGAUACUGAAGACCAACAGCUCUCCAGGAAGCCCCUAGGCCUCCAGCACUGGUUUGGAACUGCUAAGGCAUCCAGUCUUGUGCACUGAGCAGCUAGUCCAUUGUGGCCUUUCCAUCGGGAGACAGCCAUUGCUGGACUCCCCGGAGCACUGGCUGUUAGCACUCCAUACAGUCUCUAUCCAGUCUCUUCUUUUAGAGAGGCCUGACUAACACACUAUCCUUUCUCCAUAACCUGUGUACCUGUUCCACUUGUCUGAAGACCCGAAGCAGGUUUCCUCGAAGGACACCUUGAAGCUCUCGUUCAUCCCAACCGCGACUCAGCAACUCCUCUAUCAGCACUGGCGCCCAUGCCUCCCACAGCUCCUUCUUCCCCCGAAUACUACCACGUCCUCUACAAAGGGCAUGCGCAAGCCCAGAUGGCCUGGCAUGGAGAGACAUACUGCCUGAUUGGAGGCUACCGUGUCUACGGAGAUGCGCCGCUUCCCACACCUGCAAAGGCUGAGCAAGAGGAGAAGUCAUCGUCCAGCGGGGCUCCUAAGAGACAUCGAGUUCAGGAAGAGUCAGAUCAAGAUCUAGGCUGUCCCGGUGCAAAAAUUCCUCGCCUGAAAUUGAAGCUUGGUGACAAAUGGUAGCCACAGAGAGGACAAGCUGGUAGCUGCCUUGGAAGGCUGAGCCCUCUUCAGCAAUGCCCUCCACUGACCACCAAUGUAGACAGAACCAUGGCUGCUCUGCCAGUGCAGAGCCUGGUGCAACCAGUGUUCCUAACCACUGAGCAUCUCUAGCUCCUGGGCUUUUUAAACUUUGAGUUUGGAAGAUUGAACUCAGGUCCUCAGGCCUGUAUGGCAAGGGUUUCACUGACUGAGCAAGCUAUCCCCCCUCAUCCCCAACUCUUCAUUUUUUCUUGGGAGUCAUGAGCCCAUGUACCACAGGCUGGUUAUAUCUUGAAAUGCCCAUUCUUCCUGACUCUACCUCACAAGUGCUGGAGUCGCAGGACUCUCCAAGACUGGUUGUAUGUAGUGUUGGGGGCAGGGGAUCAAAUCCAGGGCUUCCUGCAUGCUGGGCAAGCCCUCUCUACCAGCUGAGCUACAUCAACAGCCCAGUAUUAGCUCUUAAUAUUACCUGUAAUUAUUGCAGUUGUUAUUGAUGUCUGCUCAGGGCCCAGGAGCAGGAUAGAAUGGAUGCCUAAGUAGUUAGUACCUGGUAGAGAGGAACUUCCUGGGGUCUGGCGAAUACCACAUGUAAGGGAGUCCAACCAUUGGAGGCCCAUGACUAUUAUAUGUCCUGGCAGUCUGGCCUUUGUCCAAACAAGAAUGAAAGUUAUUCACCAUCCAGUCACAUUCCCUUCUUAGGGAUCGAAGGAAUUCUUUGAGGGAUCAUAAGAGUGGGAGUCAGUGGUUCAGUUUGUGGAUUGAGAUAAAAUACUAAGAAAAUCCCCAAAAUUCACUUUCCCAAAGCCAGACCCACCCAUUGGAUUCAUCUUGUGCUGAGUCCAACCGUCUGGGUUAGACAGGCCACUGCCAGCUUCCUUGAGCAAAUGGUGGCCGAAAUGCCUAGUUCCACAAACCACCAGUGCAGGAAGCCUGUGUUAACCUACUCUACUUCAGAGAAGGACACUCACAUCUGUUUCUAUGUCCAAAGCAUUUACUUCUAGGAAAUAUUUGCCCCUUCACAAGUGGAGGGACUUCCAGGGCACCAGAAUGAUAUCUGAGAGGACUGGGUGGGUAUCCUCUAAAAGUCACACAAUAAGGCCUAAUAAGGUCGCAACAAUGGCGAGGCUUGGGACAAUGUGGGGAGAGGAUUUCGAGUGUGAGAACUUGAGUAUAUGAUAUUCUGGAGUCUCCGGUUGGUUCUUUUCUGGAUGCUGUUUCUGAGGUCGCAGGGCUGAGUGGCAAGCACUGUCCAGCUGCUCCUCUGGGAUCAUGUCUUCCAGGGGACUUUGCCAUUUGCUUUUGUCUCGGACCUGGAGAUGACAGUUGGUGGUCAGCGGCUCUCCCAGGUCUCCCAUAGCUCAUUAGGUAUGUGAGCACCCGUUCAGGCACUUACACCUCUCUAUUACCCCCAUCUCGGCAUACCUGCUCCACUUGUCGGAAGACCCGAAGCAGGUUUCCUCGAAGGAUGCCUUGGAGUUCCUGUUCAUUCCAGCCUCGUCUCAGCAACUCCUCUAUGAGCACUGGGUAUGUAGACACAUCCUCCAGGCCCUGAGGGAACCUGUUGUAAGCACCAGCAGGCGAAUCUCAGACCUGGUAUCCUAACUCAGCCAGGUGGUGGUGGUAUACGCCUUUCACCCCAGCACUUGGGAGGCAGAAGCAAGCGGAUCUCUGUCCUGUCUACAAGACAGCCAGGGCUACACAGAGAAACCUUGCCUUUUUUUGUUUGUUUGUUUUUCGAGACAGGGUUUCUCUGUGUAGUCCUGGCUGUCCGGGAACUCGCUCUGUAGACCAGGCUGGUCUCCAAAACUCAGAAAUCUGCCUCCCUCUGCCUCCCAAAUGCUGGGAUUAAAAGCGUGCGCCACCACUGCCCGCCCAAGAAAUCUUGUCUUGAAAAAUAAAACCAGAAACAAAUAAA